AUGUGGUACAUUUACACAAUGGAGUACUAU
RNAcentral lists this non-coding RNA (30 nucleotides) under Mus musculus (house mouse). Lineage: Eukaryota; Metazoa; Chordata; Mammalia; Rodentia; Muridae. The record is from RNAcentral.